Molecule: ribosomal RNA, 253 nt
Filed under: uncultured bacterium
Lineage: Bacteria
Description: partial 16S ribosomal RNA
Rfam family: Bacterial small subunit ribosomal RNA
Source: RNAcentral
UACGGAGGGUGCAAGCGUUAUCCGGAUUCACUGGGUUUAAAGGGUGCGUAGGUGGCUUUGUAAGUCAGUGGUGAAAUCUUAGAGCUUAACUCUAAAACUGCCAUUGAUACUGCUUAGCUUGAAUCAAGUAGAGGUGGAUGGAAUAUUACAUGUAGCGGUGAAAUGCUUAGAUAUGACAUAGAACACCAAUUGCGAAGGCAGCUAGCUACAGGGAUAUUGACACUGAGGCACGAAAGCGUGGGGAUCAAACAGG